UUUCAUGCUUAACAUACUAAAAAGGACACUAUUCUCUUUACUUAAGCAUUCUAUCAAACAUAUGGGGAGCAUGCUUUGGUUAUACCACAGAUUCUAUACUUAAUUAUCAUGAAUACAUCAAUAUCAUGCAACUUGAAGAGGGUUUAUCAUGAACAUCAUACAAUCCAUCACAUACUAGAAUCAACUCUUGAAAUUGGUAGUCUAAAUCAUGAAUUAAAACUCAAUAAUAA
RNAcentral lists this long non-coding RNA (230 nucleotides) under Capsicum annuum. RNAcentral's name for it is "long non-coding RNA (CANN_LNC019272)". Lineage: Eukaryota; Viridiplantae; Streptophyta; Magnoliopsida; Solanales; Solanaceae. The record is from RNAcentral.